AGCAGACGCAUGUGGUAGCACCCUUGUGCUCCGGGGCGGGGCACGGGUGAGCAGAGGCGCGGGAGGCGGUGCGAGGGCGGGUCUGGUGGGGCCGUCCUGAGGUGAGGGGCGCGGAGGGGCGGUGGGUGAGCACCUGUGGCGCGGAGCGGGGAGAUCCGCUGUGAAAACGCGGAUCACGACGUUGCGGCACGAGUGCAUCACAUUGUGAGACUACAGCUUGAAUUGCAUUAACGAGUAAGUGGGGAGAUUUGUUUCCAGGUGCUUCUUAUCCAAACUACAAUGCUAAUGUAGUGGAGCUCACAAAUCCUCUGGAAUCCAAAGCCUGCCAACAUUAACAGCUCAGAUAGUUUCUUGUGCUGGCUCCUGCUCUGAAAGGACCCUGAUUGCAGCUUCCCUAUCAUCCCAGACACCAUCAUGAACAGCACAGUACCUCCGUUUUCACUUUGUUGUCCCCAAAG
Molecule: long non-coding RNA, 458 nt
Organism: Pezoporus flaviventris
Lineage: Eukaryota; Metazoa; Chordata; Aves; Psittaciformes; Psittacidae
Exons: 3
Source: RefSeq, a predicted model, not a curated record